Molecule: long non-coding RNA, 607 nt
Organism: Mastomys coucha (southern multimammate mouse)
Lineage: Eukaryota; Metazoa; Chordata; Mammalia; Rodentia; Muridae
Exons: 3
Source: RefSeq, a predicted model, not a curated record
CGUUACCAACCCAGAGAAGAGACCAAGUAGAAGGUUCUUAGAAAUGCUAAGGUAGCAACAUUCAUAUGUGAAGAGAGGAGGAGGAAAGAAGGAAGUUGAUAAGGUGAAAAGAAAAGGGGAAGGCAAUAGACCUUAGCCAAUUAGGACAUUUCCCACCAAGGCAAGUUGUUGGUGAAUGCCUCGGGGUGGAAAGGGUGGAGUGAGAGGAGCUUGAGCAGGCUGCUGGCUGCUGGACUGUGGAAAUAAAUGUGACUUACUGUGAAAGGCAAGGAGCAUAUGGCGAAGGUGAUGGUCAUAAUGGCUAGGAGAAUGAGGUGGUCCGUCUCCUCUGCCAUUGAAGUCCUUUCUCCUCUCCUGCGAGAUCCAGGGCCUCUUAGGCUAUUGCUAGACAAUCCGCAGCGGCUUCUUCUGCUCCGAUGGUGCAUGCGAAUGAGGUUGAGGAUAACGCUGAUGUUGCAGGCAAGCACAGCCACGAUGAGCAGCAGGAGCAUGGUGGCGUACAGCUGAAGGUAAUGAAGCUACUGUUGCUUGUCCAGGCCACCCUUUCAGAAGUGUUGGUCUAGCAUGCUUGGCUGGAUGCCGUCCCGCAGCUCCUACUUGCGUGGGG